RNAcentral lists this ribosomal RNA (407 nucleotides) under uncultured bacterium. RNAcentral describes it as "partial 16S ribosomal RNA". It matches the Rfam family "Bacterial small subunit ribosomal RNA", at positions 355 to 774 of the family's 1533-position model. The record is from RNAcentral.
UGGGGAAUAUUGCACAAUGGGCGAAAGCCUGAUGCAGCAACGCCGCGUGAGGGAUGACGGCCUUCGGGUUGUAAACCUCUUUUAGUAGGGAAGAAGCGAAAGUGACGGUACCUGCAGAAAAAGCACCGGCUAACUACGUGCCAGCAGCCGCGGUAAUACGUAGGGUGCAAGCGUUGUCCGGAAUUAUUUGGCGUAAAGAGCUCGUAGGCGGUUUGUCGCGUCUGCUGUGAAAUCCCGAGGCUCAACCUCGGGUCUGCAGUGGGUACGGGCAGACUAGAGUGUGGUAGGGGAGAUUGGAAUUCCUGGUGUAGCGGUGGAAUGCGCAGAUAUCAGGAGGAACACCGAUGGCGAAGGCAGAUCUCUGGGCCAUUACUGACGCUGAGGAGCGAAAGCAUGGGGAGCGAACA